UUGGCCGUGCAGUUGCUGUGGCAGAUGCAGCCCCUACUGGCCUCGAGUGCUGAGUGGGAGGGCAAGGGAUGGCUACUUCUAUUCAGCACUGCCAUGCAGAGAACUACUGGUGAGGACUGCAGUUCUGAGGACCCCCCUGAUGAGCUUGGGUGCUCUCUUGCUGAAUGGGCCUUAAGGGUGAAAGCUGUUAAACUGGAGAAGGAAGUCCAGGAUUUAACGAUGAGAUACCAGAGAGCUGUAGCUGACUGUGAAAACAUAAGGAGGGGAACCCAGAGAUGUGUGGAAAACUCCAAGAUAUUUAGAAUCCAGAGUUUCUGUAAGAUCUUGGUGGAGGUGUCC
Molecule: long non-coding RNA, 339 nt
Filed under: Homo sapiens (human)
Lineage: Eukaryota; Metazoa; Chordata; Mammalia; Primates; Hominidae
Description: non-protein coding lnc-SLITRK6-22:1
Source: RNAcentral